GGGGCUGACAUGGAUUUGACAGCAGGAUGAGGUGUUACGUAAGCACGCAGAGAGUCGCUGAUCGCUCUCUUAAAUCAAUGGUCUGUCAAAUAUUAUCUGGCGAAACUCGUUACGCUCUCGCUGCUUGAUUGAAGUAUAGUAGAUCAGCCUAUCGCGGCACAAGGUGCUGCGACGAGACAUCACUCAGAGGCUAAGGCCCCAAAGCGCUCUGGCUCAGUGGUGCAGCUAAAUUGGGGAUAGUCGUGCGUGGCCUCGCACAUGCGGCGAAAUUUUAGAGGAUAAGGCACAGGUUGGUGGUCCAGGUCUUGCUUGUGCUCGAAAAUUCAGUCUGGAAUAAGCGUGUAGAAAGCGUAGGACGUCCCUGUUUGGACGAGGGUUCAAUUCCCUCCAGCUCCACU
Molecule: transfer-messenger RNA, 398 nt
Filed under: bovine gut metagenome
Rfam family: transfer-messenger RNA
About the family: Bacterial tmRNA, also known as 10Sa RNA or SsrA, is named for its dual tRNA and mRNA-like properties.
Source: RNAcentral